RNAcentral lists this ribosomal RNA (497 nucleotides) under uncultured bacterium. Its description in RNAcentral is "partial 16S ribosomal RNA". It matches the Rfam family "Bacterial small subunit ribosomal RNA", at positions 28 to 507 of the family's 1533-position model. The record is from RNAcentral.
GAUGAACGCUGGCGGCGUGCCUAAUACAUGCAAGUCGAGCGAACAGAUGAGGGGCUUGCUCCUCUGACGUUAGCGGCGGACGGGUGAGUAACACGUGGAUAACCUACCUAUAAGACUGGGAUAACUUCGGGAAACCGGAGCUAAUACCGGAUAAUAUAUUGAACCGCAUGGUUCAAUAGUGAAAGACGGUUUUGCUGUCACUUAUAGAUGGAUCCGCGCCGCAUUAGCUAGUUGGUAAGGUAACGGCUUACCAAGGCAACGAUGCGUAGCCGACCUGAGAGGGUGAUCGGCCACACUGGAACUGAGACACGGUCCAGACUCCUACGGGAGGCAGCAGUAGGGAAUCUUCCGCAAUGGGCGAAAGCCUGACGGAGCAACGCCGCGUGAGUGAUGAAGGUCUUCGGAUCGUAAAACUCUGUUAUUAGGGAAGAACAAAUGUGUAAGUAACUAUGCACGUCUUGACGGUACCUAAUCAGAAAGCCACGGCUAACUACGUG